AUGCCCUUUGGACUGUGCAAUGCUCCAGCCAUGUUCCAAUGUCUGAUGAACACCAUCUUCGGGCGCCACGUGCGUAAGUUCAUAAUCAUUUUUCUUGAUGACAUAUUGGUUUUCAGUGAGGAGCUGCAGGAGCAUGAAGAGCAUCUACGAGUUACCUUGGACCUCCUCCGCGAGCAUCAGCUGUUCGCCAAGGCCUCCAAGUGCUCGUUUGCACAAACUAGCAUUGAGUACCUGGGCCAUGUCAUCUCAAAGGACGGCGUCGCUACGGAUCCCAGCAAGACCAGUGCGAUGAACGCCUGGCCCGUUCCAACAAACCAAACCGAGCUGCGCGGUUUCCUCGACCUAACCGGCUACUACCGCAAAUUCGUUCCACACUACGGAAUCAUCGCCAAGCCCCUGACACAACUGCUCACCAAGAAAGGAUUCGAGUGGAACGAGAAGGCCCAGGACGCAUUCGUCAUGCUCAAGAAGGCGAUGGUGAGCACACCCGUGGUCGCCCUUCCGGACUGCGCGCGGCCAUUCAUGAUUGAGACUGAUGCCUGCGACACGGGCGUGGGCGCGGUGCUCAUGCAAGACGGCCACCCGUGGCAUACCUCAGCAAAGCCUUGGGCGUGCGCAAUCAGAAGCUAUCGACGUACGAAAAGGAAUUCUUGGCGGUGA
RNAcentral lists this ribosomal RNA (660 nucleotides) under Triticum aestivum (bread wheat). RNAcentral describes it as "partial small subunit ribosomal RNA". Lineage: Eukaryota; Viridiplantae; Streptophyta; Magnoliopsida; Poales; Poaceae. The record is from RNAcentral.